Molecule: long non-coding RNA, 40802 nt
Filed under: Gossypium barbadense (sea-island cotton)
Lineage: Eukaryota; Viridiplantae; Streptophyta; Magnoliopsida; Malvales; Malvaceae
Description: long non-coding RNA (GBAR_LNC019854)
Source: RNAcentral
UGCCUGGGAGUCCGCUUGCAAUACCAUAGUUGAUGCCAGAAAUGCCGGCGGCCGCACUUUUGAUGCAUUUGCAAGCUGCUUGCCGGUCUGGUGUUGUUUGGGCGGCGGAGUUGAGAGAUUUUAUGCCGCCGCAGCAACCUGGGGGAACGCCACCAGCACCAUUCCCUGUCAAGUAACCAAUGCAGGGUGCGAGGGAGCUUGUGACUUGACCACAGGUUACGGCCCCUUGAGCCAGGGGUGCACCCACCACCAUGCACAACACCGCCACACAUGCAAGCUUAAGGGACAUUGAGCUAGCCAUAUCGAUUAAUCACAAGAAAAACAAACUUGUAAGGAAAAUGCUUGCUUGGAGUAGUAGUACUAUUGCUGAUUGUCGUGGUUAGGGCUUGAGGGUAGGAGGGUUUUUAUAGCCAAAAGUAGUAGCGGGUGAUGUCUGAAUUUUACUUUCCUAGCUAUUAGGUAAGUUGAGAUUAUCCGAUCCAAACAUUAACACACCACAUUAAAAGUUGAGACCAUUCAAUUAGGUUCAACUGCCAACCUACGUGAUUAUUGUUUUCUUUCAAUACAAUUAAAACCAGCGUCCAUUUGAUUUCACUCAAUCAUGCCUCCACAGCUAGGACUCAAAUAUUGGUUUAACUUUUUUCUAGGUGUUUUCUUAUAAACAUGAGAUUUACAUUUGAUGUAUUUAUAAAUGCAUUUAUUGUCAGAAUGAUACCAUUUUAUUAAAAGUAAUUUGAUUUAUAAUUGUUUGUAUAUAUACUUUUAUAUAUUAAGUCUUUAAUUGAAUUGGUAUUACGAUUCACCCAAGCAUCUAUUUAAUUGAAAAUUUGUUAAAAUAUUCAUAUAACAAAUAUUAAUAUUAAUAUAAAUGUAUUUUUAUUUUUAUUAUAAAUAAAACUAUAAUAAGAUUUAAACUUAUGACUCAUAAAUUUUACUCUUUUUAACUUAACUAUUUCAACUAAAAUUUCAUUUAGUUUUAAUAUAAAUUUUUAUAAAUAUAUUAUUUACAUGAAUUUUCCUUUUCCAGGCGGUAUGCCAUGGAACUAAUAUAAAAUAUAAACAAAUGGUUAUUUUGUUAUUUUCAAUGGAAAAAAAAAACUUCACAAGAUUAGGACACAUGCAUGGUUUUUUUAAUAUAUAUAUAUAUAUAUCAUGCAACAUUCUAAAUCUAUUUAUAGAUUAUUUUGUUGAUUGAAUUUUUAUUUUUUUUUAUUUUGGUAAUUAUAUAAAACUAAAUAUUUUCUUCGCGCAAUGUUAAGAGCAGUUUGAAAUUUAAAAGAAGUGUGGAUUCUAAUAAUAAAUUUAGUUAUCUAAUGUUUACAUAUUUUAUUAAUUUGGUCUUAAAUAUAAAAAUUAAAUUCAACAAAAUUAGCCCUCAAUGUUUACAAAAUUUUUCAUUUUAAUUCAAAUUCUAAAAUAAUCCAAUAAAUUUAGCUCUCAACAUUUACAAAAUGAAAGGAUUUGAUUUUUAAAAUUUUAAUUUUUUUUUUUAAAAACCCAAAACACAAACCUAAAUAAACUGAAAAAGAAGAAGGAAUAAUUAUCAUCACCACGAUCUAAUCUCUCAACUUUAAAAUAAGACUUCAACUUCGGUUUAACCCCAAGACAAGGCGAAACAUUGAAAGUAAGUGCAGCGGAUGCCAUUGAUUCUCCUACCUUUUGGCUAAACACAUAAAUUUGAACAACUUCAUACAUAACUAGCAGCAGUACUAAAAAAUCAUUAAUACUAUAUUUUCAAGUACAAGAAAUUGAAAAAAGAAUCACGGGUAGAGUACAAAAAUGAAAUUUGGUGUGAACCUAGAUUAACAAAACAAGGUUCACGGUUUCUCAAAAACACAAUACUAAAUUUUUAGAAUUUCUUGUGAAGAUCAAGCAAUGAGACAAAUACUGAAAUUGGCAAUGCCUUAAUAGCAAAUAAUAAUUCAAACCAAUGUAGAAAAAAGAUGAAGAAGAAGAAGAUAGGAAAAGAAUUUUUAGUUUACAUUAAAAGCCUUGAAAAGGUAGACCGAUAGGAUUGAUUGUUUUGAAUAUUACUCAACUUUCUCAUUAAUUCUUGUACUAUUAUGGCUAAGUGUGUUUUUAGAUGGUAAUGAAUUUUUUUAAUUGUUAAUAAUUUUUACAAUUAUUACACUUGAUUUGGCAGUUGUUUUUCUUUUUAAUUUACAAAAUUUUAAAAAAUUAAAAAUUUCUAUUUUGUAAAUGCUAAGAGCUAAAUUUAUUAUUAUUUAUUUUAGAAUCUAAACUAAAGUGACAAAUUUUGUAAAUAUUUGGUGUUAAAUUUAUUGGAUUUUUAUAUUUAAAAUCAAAUUGAUAGAAUGUGUAAAGAAAGUUAAUUUUUUUAUUAGACAAAUAAAAAAUAACCCAUUUCAACACUUCCGAAAAAUUUUCAAACGGCCGUUAACAUUUAGUGAUGAAAAUAUUUGAUUUCAUAUAGUUUAAUAAUUAAAAUAAAAAUAAUUAAAAAUUUAGUAAUCAAAGUAAAACACAAGUGAUAUUAUUCUAGUGAUCAUUUCUGUACUUGACCCUAAUUUUUUUUUCAAAACACUGUUAAAAAACGAUUAAUUUCUCGUUUUGGCCGGAGUUAAAAUUUUUAAUAUAUUUGUUUUUAUUAAAUUUAAAAAUUAUAAUUUUACAUAAUAUAUUUUUGAUAGAAUACAUAUGAUAUAAUUUUAAUCAGUGACACCUGUUAAAGCUUGUUAGAUCUCCUGUAUCUCUUUCAAUCUGGUGGUAAAUGAAGCAAUCAAUGAGUAUUACAACCAGCCACAUGUCAUUCAAUUCACAUUAUAUCAAUCUUUUCCCUUUUCUCUCAUUUUGGUAGUUAAUUCCUUUUUUUGUCAUCGAAAUUAUAUUUUUUUCUCAAAUUGAUAAUUUCCUUAAUCCGUUAAGUUUGUUAAAAGAAACCUUAAUCUUAUUUAAAUUAUAUCUUUUUUUUUUUAUUUUGAUACUUAAACAUUUUUGUCACAUGUGGUAUGUAAUUUAUUUUUUCUUAAGUUGUUAGUUUAAUUAUUACUCAAAUAGUUAAGUCUAUUUAAAAAAAGAUAACUAUUUAAAAAUUACCAUAUUCGAACUAGCUAGGCCAUUAGUUCCUGGUUUAAUCAGUUUAUCUAGUUUGAUGAAAUCAAUUAUUAAAAAUUCAUAAAAAUAAAAAUGUUAAAAAAUAGAGAAAACUAGCUCAACUAGUUUUUUUUUUAAGCUCGACUCAAUCAAUCUGUAUCAGUUUGUAGGUUAAUCGGUUCAAGCCCUAUCUCCAAACUAGUAUCCCAGUUGGUUCCUAGUAUUAAGGGUGAGCAAAAUUUGAAUCGACUCGAAAAAAUUUAAAAAAGUUCAAAUUUUGAAUUAUUUGAAUCGAGUUAAUCGAAUCAACUCGAUUUUUUUUUAAUUUCAAGUUCGAGUCGAGUUGAGUUUUUGAAUUCAAAUGACUCGAAUAAUUCGAUUAAGCCGAAUACCAAACUAUAAUAUUUUACAUUUUACCUCAAACCCCAAACCCUUUUACUUUUCCCCCAAAACUUUACUCAUUCCUCCUUGUCUGCCCCUGUAACGCCCCAAAUUUUGAAUUGUUACUGUUAGUUUCUAUUUAUAAGUAAGUAUUUGCUUCAGUGGUUAAGUGUUAUGUGUUGGUGUUUGGAUCGGGGGUUCAAGUUACACUUUUAGAGAAUUUUAUUAUUCUUUUGUUUCAACUCUUAUCCUUGAAUGCUUGAAUUAAGUUUGUAUCUGCAUUAAUUUGUGUCAAGAAUGAGUCUUCUAGUUUAAUGGUUAAGUUUUGUAUUACCUAUGGUCUCGUGUUCGAGUCUCUGCGUAGGCAAUAAAGAAAUAUUUUGGCAUGCUAUCGGGAAAUCAGUUUUAUUUUAAUAAUUAUUUUUAUUUAAAACUUAUUUUUAGUUUUUUUUAUUUUGGUUCUUCUCCUUCCUUACUGUUCAUUUCCUUCUUCUUUUUUCUCCUUUUGUAACACCCCUAACUCGAAUCCGUCGCUGGAACAGGGUUAGGAGUAUUAUUGAAGUUUACAAUUUAAACAGGCAGAAAAAUUAAACAUUUCAUAACAUAUAGCAUUCAUGUUAGAAACCAAUCAUAAUUAUGCAUAUUGUCCCUAAUACGAGCCCUCGAGGCCCAAAAUACACCUUAGAAAUAAUUCGGGACUAAAUUGAAAAUUCGGAGCAUUUUUUAGAAACUUAUAAAAUUUUUAAAACUACAGGGGUCACAUGGCCGUGUGGCUAGGUUGUGUGACUCAUAUGGCCAACAGACACGCCCAUGUCUUAGACCGUGCGGGUAUUCGAAAUAGGGACACACGGUCGUGUCCCAGCCAGUGUCCAUGCCCGUGUAACUCACUAACUUGGGCCACACGGUCAAGCCAUACGCCCGUGUGCCAGGCAUUGUGAGCAUACUAACUUGCAUUCUUUAAAAGAUACAGGGGACACACGGCCAUGUCACCUGACCGUGUGUGACACACGCCCGUGUCUCUGCCCGUGUGGACAAAAAUAGGCUAUUUUUCAAGUCAUAAAUAUUCAUGUAUUCUUUAAAAGAUACAGGGGACACACGCCCGUGUCUCUGCCCGUGUCUCUGCCCAAUUUGGUACCAACCUAAACACAACAAUUUGCAUAUAACCAAGUCAUAAAUAGGCAUCCAAAACCAGCCAAAAUCAAGCUUAAAACAUGUAAUAUCAUCACAUACAACCAAUAUGCCCUUAGGCACCUCAAAUGACAACUUAUAAUAUUAAUAUUCAUGUAUUCAAUAUAGCCAAAUGUAUAACUCACUUAUAUGCAUAUUUUCAUCCAAAGUUUAUUAAGCAAAUUUACAUCAUUUCUUACCAAAUUACUUACCUUCCAAAACAUAUUAUUUGGUGCUAAAAUGUAUUUAACAUACUAACAUAUUUAACUUAUAUGCCUUACAUAUCCAGACACCAAUUCAUGAUCAAUUCUUCACAUUCCAAAACACAUAUAUGAAAUGCACAUUAGGUUACCUUUUUACCACUCUUUAUUCAAUCAUGAACCAAACUACAUGUCAACCAUAAUAAGCAAAAUAUGCACAUAUCCAAAAUUCCAUAACACAAACAAAACAAAUGGCUAAUCUCAACAAAACACAUAUAAGCCAACAUUGGCCAAACUAAUCUAUACAUGCCAUUAUAACCGAAAUUAAACAACCGAAUGUACCAAAAGAGCCAAUGGAUAGUGUGAUAUAGCUCCGACAAGCUUUCAACCAGAACGAGCUUUCGAAUCACUAAAAACACAGAAAAUAACACAGAGUAAGCAUUCAAGCUUAGUAAGUUCAUAUAGCAUAUAAUUUAACUUACCAUUUAGUCACAUUUAAGGUAAGCAUACAAAACAUAUCCAAACUCAAUUAGGAUAAAAGCCUCAACACAUAUCCUCAUCAACCAUGUUAGUCAUGUAAUUCAUAUAAAUAUCAAGAAACAUGUAUGAGCUCAACAAUAAUCAAACUUGCAUGUACAUAUAAUUUCCACAUCAUGUAUUUACAUAUCAUGUACAAAUCAUUUUCAUAUAUCUCAUGUAAAUACAUGUAGUAGUUUGUAUUGAACUCAUGUAAUAUCAUAACAGAACAGUGCCCGUUGAACCAUUUAGAUUAUUGUUGGAUACGCGGAUAGUACACAUGAGGUGUACUGAACUGUAAUUCAUCAAUUCAUGUACAUGUAUGCUCAUAUGAGCUAUAAACAGUAAGCUCCUCUGAGAUGAAUAACAAUAAGCUUGUACGAGCUGAAUAUCGGUAAGCUCAUAUGAGCUGAGUAUCGGUAAGCUCAUAAGAGCUGAAAUCGAUAACCCUAAUGACAUGUUUACCAAGCCAUGACAUUCCACUAACACAUUUAACCUUUAAAAUUAUUUCAAUUUACAAGUUUAAGAAAGAACAUAAAAGAUGAUACUUGGCUUUAUUUUACUAAAUUUUGUUAUUUACUUAAUUACUUAUUUAACCUUUAAAAUCAUUUCAAUUUACAAGUUUACUAAGCCAUGACAUUCCACUAACACAUUUAAGGGUUAUUUACCAUAUAAGGACCUCUACUUUAAAUUUUUAUAGCUAUUUAAUACCUUUAGCUAUUAGAACUUUACUUUUACACUUUACGCGAUUUAGUCAUUUUUAUCAAAUUGAACAUGUAAACGGUAAAAUUUCUUAACGAAAUUUUCAUAUGGUAAUAUUAUCAUGUUUUCGACCAUAAAAUAAUAAUAAAAUAAAAUUUUUUACUUCAUAUUUGUGGUCCCAAAACUACUAUUCUGAUUUCACUGAAAAUGGGUUGUUACACCUUUCUUGCUUGAUUGCUUCCGUAAGUUUGCUAUCGUGCUUAAUUGGGCAUUCUGUGUGGUUUCUUACAUUGAUUGCAAGGAUAUUGCGUAAGUUAUGUUGUUGUUUUUUACCUAUUUUUUCUAGACUUCGUCUGUUUCGUCGAGGUUAGAUAUUACUGUUAAUGGUUGUAAAAUCUCGUUAAUAGUUCCAAUGGAUCUUCUUUUAGGAAAAGGUUUCAAAAGUAACAUUUCCCUGUGAGAUUAGGUCCGAAUUGUUGUUGCUUGCUUGUCAGUAAUUGAAAAUUUCUAUUUUGGAUAGCUGCGUCGAAGUUUUCGACGAACGUUAGUUUUGAGUGCUAAUUUUGGCAUUUUGAGUUGAUUUAGUCAUUUAAUUCGUCAAUUAAUUGUCGUUUUAGGUUUCAGAUUCUUGUGUGUUGCUUCUACAUCGAAACUACAUCAAGUGUGUAACGAAAACUCAUUUUUCUAUGAUUUACGAAUGCUAGAAAACAUGGCUGUUAAUCACACGACCGUGUGUUAGGCCAUGUAACUUACUGUUUAUGUAUUAAAGUCACCGAGCCAAGGACGUGGGCGUGUGUCCUAGUCGUGUAACUUACUAUUUGUGGAUUGGAGUCACACAGGCUAGGGACACGUUUGUGUGUCCAGACUGUGUGAAGGAAAUUUUAUGAAUUGAGUCACACAAGCGUGUGCUUGACUAUGUCAUAGACCGUGUAACUCACUUUUUUGAGCCACACGAUCGUGUGCCAGGCCGUGUGAUAGAUCGUGUGCUACACGGGCCAGCCUUCCGGGACAUGUGAAUCCACACAAGUGUGUGGGUCAAAAUUUCAAAUUUUUUAUUAGGGCCGUAAACAUCAUUCCAGUCAAACGUAGGCCUACUGUAGGGUCUGGAUGAUCUGAUUUGGGUUAUAAAACCCAUUGACUAGUUAUCUGUUUCUGUAUAAACUGUUAUUUUAUAUACAUCAUAGAAUUGUAAACUAGAGAGUAGUUGUAUUCUGUAUUAAUUGAGUAUAACCUGAAAUUUGUAACAUCGUAUGCUUAUAUCUGUAUCUGUAACAUUGCAUCUGCAUUGGGGUUGGGAUUGAAUAAGGAGGAAGUUAUGGCAGUUAAAUAAUCUGCUAAGACUGGUGGCUAAGACACGUAAAUGUAUCUAAUUUUGGUGACUUUCGCAUUCUGUCCUAGCAAUUAGUCUGCAACCUUUUGAACGUGACAUAUGGUCACUAUGUGGUGUGUAGGGACGAUACCCUUUUUGGUGUGUAGGGUUGGAUGCAGAUGGUGUGUAAUUGACAUAUUCUACUCUAUUUCCGUAUAUAAUUCUGAGAACUGUUCUAACUUUAAGAAAUUGAAGAUCUAUUUUGUUGUUUCACUUAAUAAUAAUAUAAGUUAUACGCUAUGUAUAACACCCUUUACCCGAGACCGUGGUCGGAGUCGAGCAUGAGGUGUUACUUGACUUAACUUAAAAGUUCAGGGCAUAAAAAUUUACUUUCAAAAUUAAUUUCACCAUUCACAAUAAAGUUGUCCACCUGAGCAGCAGUCACUAAAUUAAUUAUAACUCAAGCUAAGAAACUCGAAAUUUAGAUUCGUAAAUUUUCCCUGAAACUAGACUCAUAUAUCUAUUCACAAAAAUUUUUCAGAAUUUUUUAUUUGACCAAUUAGUACAGUUUAUUAGUUGAAGUCUCCCCAGUUUCACUAAUCGACUAUCCUGACCUCUCGUCACUAAAAUUCAAUUAUCUCAUUAUACAGACUUGACAUGCUGAUUCCACUUAUUUAUACUUAAAAUAUACUCAUUAAGGAAUUUAAAAAUAUAAUUUAUAACUCAUAAUUCUAUUUGUACAAUUUUUAAUGAAUUUCUAAAGUCAGAACAGGGGACUUCAGAAUCAUUCUGACUCUGUCUCACUAAAAUUAAAAUAUCUAAAAGUAUAUAACUCUUUUGCUUACUCUAUUGCUUUCAUGUGAAAGUAGACUCAUUCAGAUUUAAUUUCAUCUCUCGCUAAACAUAUAAUUCUAUUUCUACAAUUUUUGGUAAUUUUUCAAAGUUACAUCAAUGCUGCUGCCCAAAAAUAGUUCCAUUGAAAUUUUUAAAAAAAAAUUCAAUAUAACCCCUUUAUAAUUAUCUAACCUUCCCUGCAAAUUUCAAAUCACAACCAAUUUCAGUAUUUCAACUACUUCACUUAAAUACUAAUGAAGUUCAACUAAUCAACCAUUUCAAACUAAAAACAUGUAUAGUUCAAUGUUUAACACAACCAUCACAUUCAAAUUUAUUCAUUCUAUUACUUUUUACUUCAAUUCCCUAUACAUGUCAUAUAAAUCCAAAAAGUUGUUUAACAAAAUCUACAGGAGUAAAUCUGGAUAGUGUGAUUCUUGGUGUAGAUCUGAUCCUCCGAAUGUAUAAAUACGUCAAUCUACAAGAAUCAAUAAACACACAAUUAAGCGUAUAGAAAGCUUAGUAAGUUCAUAGGCACCAAACAUAAAUCUUACCAAACAUUUAUACACUUAUACAUUAUACACCAUUACUAAGUUUACCUGUCAACCACAAUCUUUGGUGAGUUCCUUGGUAUAAACUCACUACUACUUAUUCUUUUACCAUAAUUCCUUUGGGCCCAUUUGUCACUUACCAUCCUUGAUCAAAAUUAAGGAACGGUUACGGAAAAUUGAGUACUUCACUUUCACUUUGCCAUAGUAUAACUAUGGUCUUACGUAUGAUCAAACAUCACUUGUCCUUGAUAAGAUAAGUGUAGCUAGGCAACCACUUAUCACUUUGUCACUUGAUCAGAUAAGUGCAGCUAAAGCUACCAUUUAUCACUUUAUCACCACUUAUCACUUGUUCUUGAUUAGAUAAGUGUAGCUAAAGUUACCACUUAUCACUUUGUCACCACUUAUCACUUGUUCCUAAUCAGAUAAGUGUAGCUAAAACUACCACUUAUCACUUUGUCACUUGAUCAGAUAAGUGUAGCUAAGCUAUCACUUAUCACUUUGUCACUUGAUCAGAAGUACUCAAAUCCGGUGUUCUGCUCAAUUUGAUCAUUUAUUCAGUUUUCACAUUUUUAUUUUAUUCUCAUUUCAUCAAUAAAUAUAUAUAUUUCAUCAUACAUUAUAUAAUUCAUGAAAUUAACAUUUAAUCAUUAAAUUUUAGCCAUAUGAACUUACCUGGGUUGAUUUGCUGAAUUUGUAAAAGUUUAGGGACUAAUCAGCUACUUUUUUUUUCCUCGACUUGUUUCGGGUUCUCAAUAUGAUUCAAAUAUAUGAAAAACCAACUUGGAGGGACUCUUCAAUGGUGUUUUUUGCUAAAAAAUAUGAGGAAUUGCCUAGAAACACUUUUAGUUAAGAUUUUUAUUUGUUAUUUUUUACAAAAUUUCCAAUUUUGCCCUUAUUACAUCACUUUUUCAAAUUUUUCUUCUCUUAUGUCGUCUCAACUAUUCCAUAUUGGCAUAUUUAUGCCUUAAGUCCCUCCUUAUUUACCACUUAAGCUAUUUAAUCACUUUUAACAAAUUUUACAUUAUUUUCAGUUUAAUCCUUUUUAAUUAAUUAACCACCCAAACGUUAGAAUUUUCUAACGAAAAUUUAAUACCAACUCAAUGACACUCCAUAAAUGUUUCUAAAAAUAUUUAUGGCUCGAUUUAUGAGGUUGAGGUUUCAAUACCUCAUUUUCGAUUCUAAUUAUUUUAAUAUUUAUUCUUAGUACAUUAUUCACUAUUUCAAAAAUUUUCCUAACUUCGCAUUUAACUUAUACUCACUAAAUUAAUAAUAUUUUCUACUCAUUUGUCAAAUUUAAUGAUCUCGAAUUACCAUUCCGACACCACUGAAAAUUCAGGCCAUUACAACUCUCCCCCCAUUUUGGAAAUUUCAUCACCGAAAUUUCGUACCUGAAAAUAAAUUCGGAUACUGAAAUCUCAGCAAUUCCUCUGUUUCCCAGGUUGCCUCCUCAGAUCCAUGUCGAUUCCAUAACACCUUAACUAGUGGUACAUGUUUAUUCCUCAACUCUUUAACCUUCUGAGCUAAAAUUUUCACCGGUUCCUCUGAAUAAGUCAUGUCAGGUUGAAGCUCUAUUUCCGUAUGAGGAAUUACAUGUGAUGGAUCUGAUCUGUACCGUCUCAACAUAGACACAUGAAACACAUUAUGAAUCUUUUCAAGUUCCGGGGGCAAAGCUAAUCUAUAGGUUACCGGACCGAUUCUUUCAAUGAUUUCAUACGGCCCGAUAAAUCGUGGGCUGAGUUUCCCCUUUUUGCUGAACCGCAAAACUUUCUUCCACGGUGACACUUUCAAAAAUACACGAUCACCCACAUUAAACUCUAUAUCCCUUCUCUUCAAAUUUGCAUAUGAUUUUUGCCGAUCGGAGGUAGCUUUUAAACAAUCUCGAAUAAUACGAACUUUUUCUUCAGUUUCCUGAGUCAAUUCCACUCCCACUAGUUUCGAUUCACUUAAUUCAGACCAAUAUAAUGGAGUUCUACACUUUCUUCCAUACAAAGCUUCAAACGGUGCCAUUUUAAUGCUAGUUUGAUAACUAUUAUUAUAAGCAAAUUCGGCUAAAGGUAAAUACCUUUCCCAGCUACCGCCGAACUCAAGUAUACAACACCUUAACAUAUCUUCUAAAAUCUGAAUCACUCGCUCUGACUGCCCAUCUGUCUAGGGAUGAAAAGCUGUGUUGAAAUUUAAUUUGGUGCCUAAAGCUUCCUGUAAUUUACUCUAAAAUCUCGAGGUAAAUCUCGGAUCUUGAUCUGAAAUAAUAGAUGUCGGUACCCCAUGUAACCUCACUAUCUCAGACACAUAUAACUCCGCUAACUUUUCAAGCUGAUAAUCUGCUCUGACUGGAAUAAAAUGUGCUGACUUAGUUAACCGAUCAACAAUCACCCAUAUUGAAUGUUUCUUCUUCAGAGUUACUAGUAAUCCAGAUACAAAAUCCAUCGUAACAUGUUCCCAUUUCCAAUCUGGAAUCAUAAUGGGCUGUAACAACCCUGUCGGCACUUGAUGCUCAGCUUUCACCUGUUGACAGAUCAAACAUCUUGCUACAUACUCAAAGAUUUCCCGUUUCAUUCCGGGCCACCAAUACAUUUUCUUCAAAUCACAAUACAUUUUUGUACUACCCGGGUAAAUAGAACACAUACUACUGUGAGCCUCUGAUAAAAUAUCAUUUUUCAAGUUUAAAUUAUUCGGAAUACAUAUUCUAUUACGAUAAUAUAACAUACCAUUUUCAUCAAUGGAGUAUUCUGAGCUUAACUUAUCUUGAACCAUCUGUCGCUUUAUCAUCAAUUUUGGGUCAUCAUCCUAUAACUCCCGAAUCCGUUGAAAGAACACGGGUUUAGCCUUUAAUUCUGCUAGUACAGAACCAUCCUCAUUAAUAGAUAAAUGAGCAUUCAAUGCCCGUAGUGCAAAUAAUGAUGAUUUCCGACUAAGCGCAUCUGCUGCGGCAUUUGCUUUCCCUGGGUGAUAGUCAAUGACAAGAUCAUAAUCUUUCAGCAACCCCAACCAUCGUCUCUGUGUCAAAUUUAACUCUUUCUGAGUCAUUAAAUACUUCAAGCUUUUAUGAUCAGUAUACACGUAACAUUUCUCACCAUAUAAGUACUCUCCAUAUCUUCAAAGCAAACACGAUCGCUGCCAAUUCCAAAUCAUGUGUAGGAUAAUUCUUGUCGUGCGGUUUCAGUUGCCAAGAAGCAUAUGCCACCACUUUGCCUGACUGAAUAAGUACACAGCCCAACCCAUUUACAGAUGCAUCACUAUAUACUACAAACGGUACACCCGAUUCUGGUUGAGUCAACACUGGAGCCUCUGUCAACAUCUUUUUCAACUGAUCGAAACUCCGCUGACAUUCAUCUAACCAUAUAAAUUCAACAUUCUUUUGUAGCAAUCGAGUUAACGGUAAGGUAAUCAUUGAGAAAUCUUUGACAAAUCGACGAUAAUAACCUGCCAAUCGUAGAAAACUCUGCACUUCAGUCACAUUCUUCGGAACUUUCCAAUUUAUCACUGCCGCUACCUUACUUGGAUCCACUCUUAUUCCAUCAGCUGAUACAAUAUGACCCAAAAAUGCAACUUCAUGGAGCCAAAAUUCACAUUUGCUGAAUUUGGCAUACAAUUGUUUCUCCCACAAAGUCUGUAAUACAAUCAUUAGAUGUUGUGCAUGUUCGGACUCUGUCUUUGAAUAAAUCAAUAUAUCGUCAAUGAACACAACCACAAAUCUAUCCAAAUAUGACUGAAAAAUUCUAUUCAUCAAAUCCAUAAAAGCAGCAGGGGCAUUGGUUAAACCAAAUGGCAUCACCAAAAAUUCAAAAUGACCAUAUCGAGUUCGAAAGGCAGUUUUCGGCACUUCACACUCUUUAACUUUCAACUGAUAAUACUCGGAUCGAAGAUCUAUCAUGGAAAAUACUGUAGCACCUUUCAACUGAUCAAACAAAUCAUCAAUAUGAGGCAAAGGAUUUUUAUUCUUUACUGUUACCUUAUUCAACUGUCUGUAAUCUAUACACAGUCUUAAAAAACCGUCCUUCAUUUUCACAAACAAGACAGGUGUACCCCAGGGCGACAUACUCGGUCUGAUGAACCCUUUAUCUAAUAACUCCUGCAGCUGCGCCUUCCGUUCUUUUAACUCGACUGGAGCCAUUCUGUAUGGUGUCAUUGAGAUAGGAGUUGUUCCGGGGAUCACAUCAAUUACAAAUUCAACUUCUCUAUCAGGUGGUAGACCGGGUAACUCUUCAGGGAACAUAUCAGGGAAUUCAUUCACCAUUGGCACUUGUUCGAGCUUCAAACCAGAACCCUGAGUAUCCAGGAUAUAGGCCAAGAAUGCUUCGUUGCCUUUGUGUAAUAACCUCUGAGCAGAGAGAGCUAAAAUAAUUCUGACUGUAUCACCCAGAUUUUCAGACCCAACUGAGAUUAUAUCUCCCGUUUGACAUUUCAAACUGAUUUGUUUAUCACGAUAAUUCACUACCGCAUCAUGUCUCAUUAACCAGUCCAUCCCCAGAAUAAUGUCAAAUUCCCGAAAAGGUAACAACAUCAAAUCAGCGAGGAAUUCAUAGCCUUUCACUUUCAGUGGACAAUUACGACAUAUCAAAUUAACCAUCACACUUUGACCUAAUGGGUUUGUGACUUGUAUAUCAAAUUCAGUGGACUCAACAGAUAAUUUCUUUUUAGAUGCUAACAUAGUGCAAAUAUAUGAAUGAGUAGAUCCAGGGUCUAUCAAUGCAUAAACAAUAACAUCAUAAAGAUAGAAAGUACCAGCAAUUACAUCAGGAGCCGUAGCCUCUUUCCUUGCUCGAAUGGCGUAGGUACGUGCUGGUGCUCUAUUCUCUGAUCGACCAACUGAUUCCCUCGUACCCGAACGGGUAGUCCCUGUAGCACUGCUCUGGCCCGAACGUCUACUUUUUUGGGGAAUGGUUCUCUGUAUUUCUUUCUGUUCCACUUCAUCUUUUUACAGUCGGGAACAAUCUCGAAUAAGAUGAUUAGUACCCUCACAUUUUUAACAAGCCCCUAUCUUGGUCCUGCAUUCUCUGAAAUGAUAUCUUCCACAAUAUUGACACUUAGGCCGGGGAGCAUUCUGAACACUGCUCACACUUGCUGGAGGUCUAUCGAAUACCCUGAAAUCAGAUUGUCUUGGUCUAUCUCUACCCGAUCUUCUCGACAGUGAUGUAGUUCGACUAAUUUCUUCUCUAGAUUUGUUCACUGGUAAAUCUAAAAAUGACUUAGAAGCACCUCUUUUGAAUGGCUCUUUACUUUUUCGAUCCCGCUACAUUUUUCUGUUGUAUACUUCUUCGAGCUUUUGAGCACGGUCUGACAGAACAGGGAACUCUCGUAUUUCAUUACCCCCAAUCAUCAUUCUAAUUUCAUCAUUUAACCCUUCUUCAAACCUGAUACACAUUUCUUCUUUAAUAAGUACAAUGUCUCGGGCAUAUUUGCUGAGGUAGACAAAUUCUCUUUCGUAUUCAGCCACUGAUUUAUCUCCCUGGCGUAGGUCGAGAAAUUCCCUUUUAUUUUUAUCCAAAUACCGUCUGCCCACAUAUUUCUUCUUAAAUUCAUUUUGGAAAAAUUCCCAAUAAAUUUUCUCUGUCGGAACCACAUCCUCAAUCGUCUCCCACCAACUAUAAGCUUCUUCUUUCAAUAGAGACACAACACAACUCAAAUAAUCAUCUAGUGAGCAAACCAUUUCUUUAAAAAUUCUUAUUAAACUCUGUAACCAAUAUUCAGCUUUGACGGGAUCUUUAUCAGUCCUUCCCCGAAAUUCUUCGGCUCCAAGUUUUUUAAGCCUUUCCAAUGGAGAACGCUUUCUGGAUUCAGUCGUUGUAAAAGGUGGAGGAGCAACCGGGUGUGCCACCGAUGGAGCAGUAGGGGGAGGAGGUGGUUCAGCCUGAUUUCUUUCUUGCCUCAUUUCAGUAUAUCAUUGAUUCAUAAUCCCAUAAAUCAUAUUCUUUAACUCUUGCUCUCGCAUUUGGGAGAUCGGAACAUCACUGCUUGUUCUUUGUUUAGAAUUAUGUAUUCUACUAUUAACUUCUUCUUUCUCAGUACGUUUAGGUAUAUCUGACAUCUCCAUAACCGGAGAAUAUCUACUAUUAACUUCUUCUUACUGGAUUCAGUCGUUGUAAGAGGUGGAGAAGCAACCGGGGGUACCACCGAUGGAGCAGUAGGCAGAGGAGGUGGUUCAGCCUGAUUUCUUUCUUGCCUCAUUUCAGUAUACCACUGAUUCAUAAUCCCAUAAAUCAUAUUCUUUAACUCUUGCUCCCGUAUUUGGGAGAUCAGAACACCACUGCUUGUUCUUUGUUCAGAAUUAUGUAUUCUACUAUUAACUUCUUCUUGCUCAGUACGUUCAGGUAUAUCUGACAUCUCUAUAACCGGAGAAUAUCUAUAAAAAUAACAAAGAUUAGAUCGCAUCAUACGCAUUACACUAUCACAGAUUUAUAUGGCAUGUAUUUCUAAACACUUUACACUUUACACAUAUUCCGAGAACCGGCUAAACCUGGAUCUGAUACCAAUAAAAUGUAACACCCUUUACCUGAGACCGUUUCCAGAGUCGAGCAUGAGGCGUUACUUGACUUAACUUAAAAGUUCAGGGCAUAAAAAAUUACUUUCAAAAUUAAUUUCACCAUUCACAAUAAAGCUGUCCACCCACGCAGCAAUCUCUAAAUUAAUUAUAACUCAAGAUGCGAAACUCGAAAUUUAGAUCUGUAUAUUUUACCUAAAACUAGACUCAUAUAUCUAUUCACUACAAAAUUUUCAGACUUUUUGGUUUGGCAAAUUAGUACAGUUUAUUAAUUGAAGUCUCCCCUGUUUCACUAAUAGACUAUCCUGACCUCUCGUCACUAAAAUUCAAUUAUCUCAUUAUACAAACUUGACUUGGUGCUUUCAAUUAUUUUUACUUAAAAUAGACUCAUUAAGGAAUUUAAACAUAUAAUUUAUAACUCAUAAUUCAUUUUGUACAAUUUUUAAUGAAUUUCUAAAGUCAAAAUAGGGGACUUCAAAAUCAUUCUGACUCUGUCUCACUAAAAUUCAAAUAUCUAAAAGUAUAUAACUCUUUUGCUUACUCUAUUGCUUUAAUGUGAAAGUAGGCUCAUUCAGCUUUAAUUUCAUCUCUCACUCAACUUAUAAUUCUAAGUCCACAUUUUUGGUGAUUUUUCAAAGUUACAUCAAUACUGCUGUCCAAAAACUGUUCCAUUGAAAUUUUUUUAAAAAAUUUCAAUAUAACCCUUUUAUAAUUAUCUAACCUUCCCUGCAAAUUUUAAAUCACAACCAAUUUCAGUAUUUCAACCACUUCACUUAAAUACUAAUGAAGUUCAACCAAUCAACCAUUUCAAACUAAAAACAUGCAUAGUUCAAUGUCUAACACAACCAUCACAUUCAAAUUUACUUUGCAUAUUUAGAUAUUCAUUCUUUUACUUUUUACUUCAAUUCCCUAUACAUGUCAUAUAAAUCCAAAAAGUUGUUUAACAAAAUCUACCGGAGUAAAUCUUGAUAGUGUGAUUCUUGGUGUAGAUCCGAUCCUCUGAAUGUAUAAAUACGUCAAUCUACAAGAAUCAAUAAACGCACAAGUAGGCUUAAUAAACACACAAGUAAGCUUAUAGAAAGCUUAGUAAGUUCAUAGGCACCAAACAUAAAACUUACCAAACAUUUAUACACUUAUACAUUAUACACCAUUACUAAGUUUACCUGUCAACCACAUUCUUUGGUGAGUUCCUUGGUAUAAACUCACUAAUACUUAUUCUUUUACCAUAAUUCCUUUGGGCCCAUUUGUCACUUACCAUCCUUGAUCAAAAUUAAGGAACGGUUACGGAAAAUUGAGUACUUCACUUUCACUUUGCCAUAGUAUAAAUAUGGUCUUACGUAUGAUCACUUAUCACUUGUCCUUGAUCAGGUUAGUGUAGCUAGGCUACCACUUAUCACUUGUUCCUGAUCAGAUAAGUGUAGCUAAGCUAUCACUUGUCACUUUGUCACUUGAUCAAAAGUACUCAAAUCCGGUGUUCCGCUCAAUUUGAUCACUUAUUCAGUUUGCGCAUUUUUAUUUUAUUCUCAUUUCAUCAAUAAAUAUAUAUAUAUAUUUCACCAUACAUUAUAUAAUUCAUGAAAUUAACAUUUAAUCAUUAAAUUUCAUCCAUAUGAACUUACCUAGGUCGAUUUUCUGAAUUUGUAAAAGUUCAAGGACUAAUCAGCUACUUUUUCUUUUCCUCGACUUGUUUCGGGUUCUCGAUAUGAUUCAAAUAUAUGAAAAACUAGCUUGGAGGGACUCUUCAAUGGCGUUUUUUGCUGAGAAAUAUGAUGAAUUGCCUAGAAACUCUUUUAGUUAAGAUUUUUAUUUGUUAACUUUUACAAAAUUUCUAAUUUUGCCCUUAUUACAUCACUUUUUCAGAUUUUUCUUCUCUUAUGCCGUCUCAACUAUUCCAUAUUAGCAUAUUUAUGCCUUAAGUCCCUCCUUAUUUACCACUUAAGCUGUUUAAUCACUUUUAACAAAUUUUACAUUAUUUUCAGUUUAGUCAUUUUUAAUUAAUUAACCACCAAAACGUUAGAAUUUUCUAACGAAACUUUAAUACCAACUCAAUGACACUCUAUAAAUGUUUCUAAAAAUAUUUAUGGCUCGAUUGAUGAGUUUGAGGUUUCGAUACCUCAUUUUCGACUCUAAUUAUUUUAAUAUUUAUUCUUAGUACACUAUUCACUAUUUCAAAAAUUUUCCUAACUUCGCAUUUAACUUAUACUCACUAAAUUAAUAAUAUUUUCUACUCAUUUGUCAAAUUUAAUGAUCUCGAAUUACCAUUCCGACACCACUGAAAAUUCAGGCCAUUACAACUCUCCCCCCAUUUUGGAAAUUUCGUCCCCGAAAUUUCGUACCUGAAAAUAAAUUCGAAUACUGAAAUCUCAUCAAUUCCUCUGUUUCCCAGGUUGCCUCCUCAGAUCCAUGUCGAUUCCAUAACACCUUAACUAGUGGUACAUGUUUAUUCCUCAACUCUUUAACAUCCCAAGCUAAAAUUUUCACCGGUUCCUCUGAAUAAGUCAUGUCAGGUUGAAGCUCUAUUUCCGUAUGAGGAAUUACAUGUGAUGGAUCUGAUUUGUACCGUCUCAACAUAGACACAUGAAACACAUUAUGAAUCUUUGCAAGUUCCGGGGGCAAAGCUAAUCUAUAGGUUACCAGACCGAUUCUUUCAAUGAUUUCAUACGGCCCGAUAAAUCGUGGGCUGAGUUUUCCCUUUUUGCUGAACCGCAAAACUUUCUUCCACGGUGACAGUUUCAAAAAUACACGAUCACCCACAUUAAACUCUCUAUCCCUUCUCUUCAAAUCUGCAUAUGAUUUUUGCUGAUCGGAGGCAGCUUUUAAGCAAUCUCGAAUAAUACGAACUUUUUCUUCAGUUUCCUGAGUCAAUUCCACUUCCACCAGUUUCAAUUCACUUAAUUUAGACCAAUAUAAUGAAGUUCUACACUUUCUUCCAUACAAAGCUUCAAACGGUGCCAUUUUAAUGCUAGUUUGAUAACUAUUAUUAUAAGCAAAUUCGGCUAAAGGUAAAUACCUUUCCCAGCUACCGCCGAACUCAAGUAUACAACACCUUAACAUAUCUUCUAAAAUCUGAAUCACUCGCUCUGACUGCCCAUCUGUCUGGGGAUGAAAAGCUGUGUUGAAAUUUAAUUUGGUGCCUAAAGCUUCCUGUAAUUUACUCUAAAAUCUCGAGGUAAAUCUCGGAUCUCGAUCUGAAAUAAUAGAUGUCGGUACCCCAUGUAACCUCACUAUCUCAGACACAUAUAACUCCGCUAACUUUUCAAGCUGAUAAUCUGCUCUGACUGGAAUAAAAUGUGCUGAUUUAGUUAACCGAUCAACAAUCACCCAUAUCGAAUCUUUCUUCUUCGAAGUUACUGGUAAUCCGGAUACAAAAUCCAUCGCAACAUGUUCCUAUUUCCACUCUGGAAUCAUAAUGGGCUGUAACAACCCUGUCGGCACUUGAUGCUCAGCUUUCACCUGUUGGCAGAUCAAACAUCUUGCUACAUACUCACAGAUUUCCCAUUUAAUUCCGGGCCACCAAUACAUUUUCUUCAAAUCACAAUACAUUUUUGUACUAACCCGGUGAAUAGAACACAUACUACUGUGAGCCUCUGAUAAAAUAUCAUUUUUCAAGUUUAAAUUAUUCGGAAUACAUAUUCUAUUACGAUAAUAUAACAUACCAUUUUCAUCAAUGGAGUAUUCUGAGCUUAACUUAUCUUGAACCAUCUGUCGUUUUAUCAUCAAUUUUGGGUCAUCAUCCUGUAACUCUUGAAUCCAUUGAAAGAACACGGGUUUAGCCUUUAAUUCUGCUAGUACAGAACCAUCCUCAUUAAUAGAUAAAUGAGCAUUCAAUGCCCGUAGUGCAAAUAAUGAUGAUUUCUGACUAAGUGCAUCUGCUGCGGCAUUUGCUUUCCCUGGGUGAUAGUCAAUGACAAGAUAAUAAUCUUUCUGCAACUCUAACCAUCGUCUCUAUCUCAAAUUUAACUCUUUCUGAGUCAUUAAAUACUUUAAGCUUUUAUGAUCAGUAUACACGUAACAUUUCUCACCAUAUAAGUAGUGUCUCCUUAUCUUCAAAGCAAACACGAUCGCUGCCAAUUCAAAAUCAUGUGUAGGAUAAUUCUUGUCGUGCGGUUUCAGUUGCCGAGAAGCAUAUGCCACCACUUUGCCUGACUGAAUAAGUACACAGCCCAACCCAUUUACAGAUGCAUCACUAUAUACUACAAAUGGUACACCCGAUUCUGGUUGAGUCAACAUUGGAGCCUCUGUCAACAUCUUUUUCAACUGAUCAAAACUCCGCUGACAUUUAUCUGACCAUAUAAAUUCAACAUUCUUUUGUAGAAAUCGAGUCAACUGUAAGGUAAUCAUUGAGAAAUCUUUGAUAAAUCGACAAUAAUAACAUGCCAAUCGUAGAAAACUCCACACUUCAAUAACAUUCUUCGGAACUUUCCAAUUUACCAUUGCCGCUACCUUACUUGGAUCGACUCUUAUUCCAUCAGCUGAUACAAUAUGACCCAAAAAUGCAACUUCAUGGAGCCAAAAUUCUCAUUUGCUAAAUUUGGCAUACAAUUGUUUCUCUCACAAAGUCUGUAAUACAAUCCUUAGAUGUUGUGCAUGUUCGGACUCUGUCUUUGAAUAAAUCAAUAUAUCGUCAAUGAACAACCACAAAUCUAUCCAAUUAUGACUGAAAAAUUCUAUUCAUCAAAUCCAUAAAAGCAGCAAGGGCAUUGGUUAAACCAAAUGGCAUCACCAAAAAUUCAUAAUGACCAUAUCGAGUUUGGAAGGCAGUUUUCGGCACAUCACACUCUUUAACUUUCAACUGAUAAUACCCAGAUUGAAGAUCUAUCUUGGAAAAUAUUGCAGCACCUUUCAACUGAUCAAAUAAAUCAUCAAUAUGAGGCAAAGGAUAUUUAUUCUUUACUGUUACCUUAUUCAACUGCCUGUAAUCUAUACACAGUCUUAGAGAACCGUCCUUUUUUUUCACAAACAAGACAGGUGCACCCCAGGGCGACAUACUCAGUCUGAUGAACCAUUUCUCUAAUAACUCCUGUAACUGCGCCUUCAACUCUUUUAACUCGGCUGGAGCCAUUCUGUACGGUGUCAUUGAGAUAGGAGUUGUUCCGGCGAUCACAUCAAUUACAAAUUCAACUUCUUUAUCAGGUGGUAGACCGGGUAACUCUUCAGGGAACACAUUAGGGAAUUCAUUCACUACUGGCACUUGUUUGAGCUUCAAACCAGAACCCUGAGUAUCCAUGAUAUAGGCCAAGAAUGCUUCGUUGCCUUUGCGUAAUAACCUCUGAGCAGGGAGAGCUGAAAUAAUUCUGACUGUAUCACCCAUAUUUUCAGACCCAACUGAGAUUAUAUCUCCCGUUUGACAUUUCAAAUUGAUCUGUUUAUCACGACAAUUCACUACCGCAUCAUGUCUCACUAACCAGACCAUCCCAAGAAUAAUGUCAAAUUCUCGAAAAGGUAACAACAUCAAAUCAGCGGGGAAUUCAUAGCCUUUCACUUUUAAUGGACAAUUACGACAUAUCAAAUUAACCAUCACACUUUGACCUAAUGGGUUUGUGACUUGUAUAUCAAAUUCAAUGGACUUAACAAAUAAUUUCUUUUCAGAUGCUAACAUAGUGCAAAUAUAUGAAUGAGUAGAUCUAGGGUCUAUCAAUGCAUAAACAAUAACAUCAUAAAGAUAGAAAGUACCAACAAUUACAUCAGGAGCCGUAGCCUCUUCCCUUGCUCGAAUGGCGUAGGUACGUGCUGGUGCUCUAUUCUUUGAUCGACCAACUGAUUCCCUCGUACCCGAACGGGUAGUCCCUGUAGCACUGCUCUGGCCCGAAUGUCUACUUCUUUGGGGAAUGGUUCUCUGUAUCUCUUUCUGUUCCACUUCAUCUUUUUACAGUCGGGGACAAUCUCGAAUAAGAUGAUUAGUAGCCCUACAUUUUUAACAAGCCCCCAUCUUGGUCCUGCAUUCUCCGAAAUGAUAUCUUCCACAAUAUUGACACUUAGGCCGGGGAGCAUUCUGAACACCGCUCACACUUGCUGCAGGUCUAUCGAAUACCCUGAAAUCAGAUUGUCUUGGUCUAUCUCUACCCGAUCUUCCCAACAUUAAUGUAGUUCGACUAAUUUCUUCUCUAGAUUUCUUCACUGGCAAAUCUAAAAAUGACUUAGAAGCACCUCUUUUGAAUGGCUCUUUACUUUUUCGAUCCCGCUGCAUUUUUCUGUUGUAUACUUCUUCGAGCUUUUGAGCACGGUCUGACAGAACAACGAACUCUCGUAUUUCAUUACCCCCAAUCAUCAUUCUAAUUUCAUCAUUUAACCCUUCUUCAAACCUGAUACACAUUUCUUCUUUAGUAGGUACAAUGUCUCGGGCAUAUUUGCUGAGGUAAACAAAUUCUCUUUCGUAUUCAGCCACUGAUUUAUUUCCCUGGCGUAGGUCGAGAAAUUCCCUUUUAUUUUUAUCCAAAUACCGUCUGCCCACAUAUUUCUUCUUAAAUUCAUUUUGGAAAAAUUCCCAAUAAAUUUUCUCUGCUGGAACCACAGCCUCAAUCGUCUCCCACCAACUAUAAGCUUCUUCUUUCAAUAGGGACACAGCACAUCUCAAAUAAUCAUCUGGUGAGCAAACCAUUUCUUUAAAAAUUCUUAUCAAACUUUGUAACCAAUAUUCAGCUUUGACGGGAUCUUCAUUAGUCCUUCCUGAAAUUCUUCGGCUCCAAGUUUUUUAAGCUUUUCCAAUAGAGAACGCUUACUAGAUUCAGUCGUUGUAGGAGGUGGAGGAGUAACCGGGGGUACCAUCGAUGGAGCAGUAGGGGGAGGAGGUGGUUCAGCAUGAUUUCUUUCUUGCCUCAUUUCAAUAUACCACUGAUUCAUAAUCUCAUAAAUCAUAUUCUUUAAUUCUUGCUCUCGCAUUUGGGAGAUCGGAACAUCACUGCUUGUUCUUUGUUCAGAAUUAUGUAUUCUACUAUUAACUUAUUCUUACUUAGUUCGUUCAGGUAUAUCUGACAUCUUUAUAACUGGAGAAUAUCUAUAAAAAUAACAAAGAUUAGAUCGGAUCAUACGCAUCACACUAUCACAGAUUUAUAUGGCAUGUAUUUCUAAACACUUUACACUUCACACAUAUUCCGAGAACCGGCUAAACCGGGAUCUGAUACCAAUAAAAUAUAACACCCUUUACCCAAGACCGUUGCCCGAGUCGAGCAUGAGGCGUUACUUGACUUAACUUAAAAGUUCAGGGCAUAAAAAUUUACUUUCAAAAUUAAUUUCACCAUUCACAAUAAAGCUGUCCACCUGCGCAGGAGUCACUAAAUCAAUUAUAACUCAAGCUACGAAACUCAAAAUUUAGAUCCGUAAAUUUUCCCUAAAACUAGACUCAUAUAAAUAUUCACCAUAAAUUUUUAAGAAUUUUUAGUUUAUCCAAUUAGUAUAGUUUAUUAGUUUAAGUCUCCCUUGUUUCACUAAUAGACUACCCUGACCUCUCGUCACUAAAAUUCAAUUAUCUCCUUAUACAGACUUGACAUGGUGCUUCCAAUUAUUUUUACUUAAAAUAUACUCAUUAAGGAAUUUAAAAAUAUAAUUUAUAACUCAUAAUUACUUUUUUACAAUUUUUAUUGAAUUUCUAAAUUCAGAACAGGGGACUUCAAAAUCAUUCUGACCCUGUCUCACUAAAAUUCAAAUAUCUAAAAGUAUAUAACUCUUUUGCUUACUCUAUUGCUUUCAUGUGAAAGUAUACUCAUUCAGAUUUAAUUUCAUAUCUCACUUAACUUAUAAUUCUAUUUCCACUAUUUUUGGUGAUUUUUCACAGUUACAUCAAUGCUGCUGUCCAAAAACUGUUCCAUUGAAAUUUUUAAAAAAAAUUCAAUAUAACCCCUUUAUAAUUAUCUAACCUUCCCUGCAAAUUUCAAAUCACAACCAAUUUCAGUAUUUCACCUACUUCACUUAAAUACUAAUGAAGUUCAACCAAUCAACCAUUUCAAACUAAAAACAUGUAUAGUUCAAUGUCUAACACAACCAUCAUAUUCAAAUUUACUUUGCAUACUUAGUCAUUCAUUCUAUUACUUUUUACUUCAAUUCCCUAUACAUGCCAUAUAAAUCCAAAAAGUUGUUUAACAAAAUCUACCAGAGUAAAUCUAGAUAGUGUGAUUCUUGGUGUAGAUCCGAUCCUCCGAAUGUAUAAAUACGUCAAUCUACAAGAAUCAAUAAACACAUAAUUAAGCUUAUAGAAAGCUUAGUAAGUUCAUAGGCACCAAACAUAAAUCUUACCAAACAUUUAUACACUUAUACAUUAUACACCAUUACUAAGUUUACCUGUCAACCACAAUCUUUGGUGAGUUCCUUGUUAUAAACUCACUACUACUUAUUCUUUUACCAUAAUUCCUUUGGGCCCAUUUGUCACUUACCAUCCUUGAUCAAAAUUAAGGAACGGUUACGGAAAAUUGAGUACUUCACUUUCACUUUGCCAUAGUAUAACUAUGGUCUUACAUAUGAUCACUUAUCACUUGUCCUUGAUAAGAUAAGUGUAGCUAGGCUACCACUUAUCACUUUGUCACUUGAUCAGAUAAUUGUAGCUAAAGCUACCACUUAUCACUUUAUCACCACUUAUCACUUGUUCCUGAUCAGAUAAGUGUAGCUAAAACUACCACUUAUCACUUUGUCACCACUUAUCACUUGUUCCUGAUCAGAUAAGUGUAGCUAAAGCUACCACUUAUCACUUUGUCACUUGAUCAGAUAAGUGUAGCUAAGCUAUCACUUAUCACUUUGUCACUUGAUCAGAAGUACUCAAAUUCGGUGUUCCGCUCAAUUUGAUCAUUUAUUCAGUUUUCACAUUUUUAUUUUAUUCUCAUUUCAUCAAUAAAUAUAUAUAUUUCAGCAUACAUUAUAUAAUUCAUGAAAUUAACAUUUAAUCAUUAAAUUUCAGCCAUAUGAACUUACCUGGGUCGAUUUAUUGAAUUUGUAAAAGUUCAGGGACUAAUCAGCUACUUUUUCUUUUCCUCGACUUGUUUCGGGUUCUCAAUAUGAUUCAAAUAUAUGAAAAACCAGCUUGGAUGGACUCUUCAAUGGCGUUUUUUGCUGAGAAAUAUGAUGAAUUGCCUAGAAACUCUUUUAGUUAAGAUUUUUAUUUGUUAACUUUUACAAAAUUUCCAAUUUUGCCCUUAUUACAUCACUUUUUCAGAUUUUUCUUCUCUUAUGCCGUCUCAACUAUUCCAUAUUAGCAUAUUUAUGCCUUAAGUCCCUCCUUAUUUGCCACUUAAGCUGUUUAAUCACUUUUAACAAAUUUUACAUUAUUUUCAGUUUAGUCCUUUUUAAUUAAUUAACCACCCAAACGUUAGAAUUUUCUAACGAAACUUUAAUAUCAAUUCAAUGACACUCUAUAAAUGUUUCUAAAAAUAUUUAUGGCUCGAUUGAUGAGUUUGAGGUUUCGAUACCUCAUUUUUUAUUCUAAUUAUUUUAAUAUUUAUUCUUAGUAUACUAUUCACUAUUUUAAAAAUUUUCCUAACUUCGCAUUUAACUUAUACUCACUAAAUUAAUAAUAUUUUCUACUCAUUUGUCAGAUUUAGUGAUCUAGAAUUACCAUUCCGACACCACCGAAAAUUCAGGCCAUUACAUUAUGUUUAUUGACUCAUUUUUUCUGUUGACUGAAUUUCAGGUAACUCAUCGACUUAGGCGGGUCGGCAUGGCGAGAGCUCGGUCAUCCUUAUUUAGUAAUUUUCUGUUUAAAUUAAACUUAUGCUAUAGUUGUUUUAUCUUGAAUUACAGAUUGCAAAUUUAUAUUUCUACACUAGUUCAACUAUUUAAACAUUUUCUGACAAUUAAACUUUAAUUAGUUAAAAGUGAGAAUUUCUUAAAUGAUUUGUUGUAGCUUUCCAAGCUUGGUCCUAACAUCUAGGUCGGGUUUGGGGUGUUACAACCCAAAACCCCCAAACUUUCCCCUCAAAACUUUUACUCCCCCACCCUUUCUCUUUCUCGCUCACCCUCCCAAACCCUUUUACUUUUCCCCCAAAACUUUUACUUCCCACUUUUACCCCCAAAUCAAAAAUCAAAAUCCUCCCAAAAAAAUCCUUAAACCUAAAUAGUAAUAAUUUUAUUUAUGGCCACUAUUUAUAUUAUAAAUUAAAUUUCACAUUUUCUAUUAUUUAUAUUAUUAAAUUGUUUAAUCAUUUUGAAUCUUUAUCAAUUUCUGUUAAAACUGUAUCAUUGAUGAUGUCAUACAUUAUUUGUGUUAAAAAUUUCUAUUGGUAUCAAUUUCACAUUUUAUCUUUAAAAUAAAUUUUAUUAAAAAAAUUACUUUUUUACAUUUAAUAUAUUUUUUAAUUUCAAAAUAUAUGGUGACAAGAAUUAGAAGAUAAUUGAAGCAACUAAGCAAGUAAAAAAGCUAACAUGUAUAUAAAAGAUUAAAUAAAUUAUGAAGGGAUGAAAGUUAAUAACACAUUUGAUUACGGUGGACAAAUUUGAUAAUGAUGGGUGACAGUGGCUACAAGGAUCCAAAGUAAUUUUUUCAAUUAACUGGAAACAAAUAUAUUCGAUUCGAUUCGAUAAAAUUUGAAAUCAUUUUAGGAUGAUAAAAUAAGAUUCGUCAACUCGAUUAACUCGAAGUUUUUUCAUUUGAUUCGAUUAGACGCUCACCCCUACAAAGUAUGACCGAUUGGUCUGAUUCUGAAAAAAAUUGGUUUUGAUCAAUGAAAGAACUUUUACGAUGGCGACAGGUCUAACAAACAGGUGAUAUUUUGAAAAGAAAAUUAAUCUCCAUAGUCUCAACCUUAGGAGGGUGAAUUUUGAGCAUUGCAUUUGUUGUCAUUGUUAGACAUUAUAAAGGAAGAAAAAAGAAAGAAAAAAGUUAAAAUGAGGGAAAUUAUUGAAAAAAAGAGAGAAGAGAAUAAUUAAUUUUUUUUAAAAUUUUACAUGUCAAUCUAUUAUUGAUUAGAUUUUUUUAAUGAGUGUAACAUUUUGGUGUUAAAUGGAUAAUAAAAAAAUAUUUUAAGUAUCAUUUAUGAUAAAAAUAUUUAGGUAUCAAUUUGAAAAAAAUAUGUAGCUUAGAUACUAAUUGAUGGGUUAAUUUUUUUAGCUUAAUAAUUUGAUUAAACCGAAAUACCAACUGAAAAAAAGUUUACUCGCCGCUUAUGAAAAAAAAUAAGUAUGAAUUUGUAAGUUAAAUCUCCCUAAAAGAAAAAAUAUAUCACAUUCAAUACGGGGUGAAUGAAGCAAUGAAUGCAAUGGGGUAUUACAACCAGCCACAUGUCAUUCAAUUCAUGUUAUAUCUACCUUGUUGGCCCCACAGGCGGUCUUUUCCAUUAUUUUCGAAGUGAACGACAUGAGUCGGACCUAUAUCGGCCCCAACAAACAACCUCAACCACUUGUUUUGUUAGGUUGUUGACUAAUUUGAAUAUGUCGGCUCAAAGCUUUUUGAAAAUUAAAUUAUUUUUUAUAUUAAUAUCAUAUAGGUAUAAAAAUUUAACGUUUUGUAAAAAAAAUAAAUUUAGUGUUAAAUUUAAAUAAUUAUAAAAAAUUAUACAAAAUACAAAGACAACUUAGAGUCAAUAAAAAAAAUAUGGAAAAUCAAUUCAUACAUGAAAUGGCAUAAAAAUAUUAUGAACACUAUACAAAUAUAUGAAUGUUUUUAUAUCUAUAUAAAAUAAGUUAUUAACGCUUAAAUUUCAACCAAUUAAAUAUUAAUUUAACUAUAAACUAUAAAAAAUUAAAAUUUCAUUUACCCUAAACAAUUAUUCUAAUUUCGCCCCUGUAUAAAAUAGUUGUAAUAUUAAAAAAAAAGUUAUACGAAUAUGGAGUGUUAAAAAAAAAGGCUUUCAACUUUUAAUAUUCCAAACAAAUAAAAGAAAUAAUAAUAACAGUUUACAAGUGCAAUAAAAGUAAUACAUAUUUGAUGAAUUAAAAAUAGAAUAAAUAUAACUAACUAUAACAGAAAUAUAUUUAGAUUUAAACCAAAUUUUUUUGAAGAUGAAAUUUGAACUCACAAAUAAUAUUUAUAAAUGAUGAUAUGUUUUAGAACAUGUAUAUUUUAAUUUCAUUUGAUAUUUAAAUUAAAUGAAUGAAAUGAGUAUAUUAGCAUAAAUAUAUUGAAUUUCUAGAUUUAUUAAAAAUCCAACUAAAUAGAGUAGAUCCAUAAAUUUAAAAAAUGAUUAUGGAUUUUGAAAUAUAAAUCUAAAAUUUAAAAUCUGAAACCCUCCUAAAUGUUUUCCAAAGUAAGGCGGGGAUAAAUGGUAUAGGGAAGACGGUGGGUAGAUAGAUGUACGGUUUAUUUAUAACUUCGUUUUUAUUAGUCGGCUUACAGUUUCAUAAAAAGCAUCCGUGCAAGGCAUGUUCAAAUGCUGCACUAGCAUACCACUACUAUAAAAAAAACACAUACAAGAGCACCACAAAUUUAUCCCAAAAUACAUUAAAUAAAUGACUCCUAAGGGUGCCAGAUUUAACUAGUGUGUCUGGGAUUGUAUUAGCCUCUCUGAGGCCAUGUGAAAAAAUUUAAUGUUAUUGUUAUAUUUCCAUCUCGAUACGUUGCAAGACAUGAAGCAAUCUGUAAACAACUCUCUUUUGGAAGCAGUUUGCAUACGACUCUUCGCUAAGAACCAUUUGUUGUGAUCUUUCGCUUAGGAUUGCUCACAAAUGACCCCCAUGCACCCUAUCUCUCUCCCUCCUUAACUCAUCAUCUUGAACUCUCAUCCUAUUAUAGGUGAAUCGAGACUCUUCUCCUCCACCCUUUCCUCGUUGGUUACUUGUAGCAAAAAAAAUUAAUUUCACCGAAAAUGUUGGAGAGAUCCCAUGGUCUAAGUGUGUUGUUAGAGCAAAGCUCGAUGGCAAAUUUGGAGUCAAAUUUUAGAAUCAACCCUUUAAAAUCCAUUACACCGUAAAGGAAAAUUUUUACAAUUACAUUAACAAUAAAUAUUCAAAAUUUACUCAUCUAUCUAUACUUAUAUUAAGCCUUAUUUGAGUUGGAGUCAAGAGUCAACUAGGUACUAACUCAGUUGAGAAUUUACUAAAUAAUUUUAAUAUAAAGUAAAAAAAAUAUUAAUACGAGGGUGUUUUUAUCUUUUCAUAUUUUUAAAUAAAAAUACUAUAAUAAGAUUUAAACUUAAGUUUAAAAUUUCAAUCAAAACAUCACUUAAAUUUAAAAUAACAUUUUUAUAUAAAAUGUGUUUAGAUUCUAAGAUAAUGAAAUUUAUGAUGAGGUAUUCAAAAUGUGUUUGAAUAUGCUAAUGAGAUAUUCAAAUUGGUAUGCACAUUCCUAAUCAGGGAGCAUUAAUGAUAAUUUAGUAAAAUAAAUUAUCUCAUUAGCAUAUAGUUUAUUAUAAAAUUAUUGUGUAAAAUAAACAAUUCACAAACUUAAGAAUUUAUAACACAAAAAUUAUACAUCAAUGUUGUUAGAAUUGUAUUAUAUCCAUCGGUUGAAUUUAAAUUUAAAAAUUUAAUCAGCGAUAAUAAUUAAAAUCGUUUCAAACUAGUAAAAUAUUGAAAAUUAAGAACUAAUAAAAUAGAUUCUAAUUAUUUUUAUUUAAAAAAUGUUACCUUCUUAUUCAGGUUACAUUAAGACAAACCCAUCUUAAUUAUAAGUAUCAUAUUGUGAAUGGUAAACUUCUUACACAACAUCCACCAUUUGUCCAAAUAUGUUAAAUUAGGUGCAACAUAGAAAUUUUAUUGUAAGGAGUGAAUCUCAUUGUUUUUAUUUUCAUCAAACAUACGUCUAACUUUAUUAUUACGGGAUUAGAACUUAAAUUUGAUAAAUUGUGUGGUUUUAGGUGAUUUCUUUUCGUUAAAUUUAUCUAAAUCAACCUAACACUCGAAAAGUGAGAAUUCUCCUAAAAAUUCUUUAUGUUAGCAAAAAAUAUAGUGGAAGUAACUUGAAACGAAAGAGCAAUGAGAGAAUUGAAAAGACACAAGAAAAUAAUGCAUACAAGGUGUUUGAGUAAAUGCUCUCAAUAAAUUCUUUAACUCAAGAAGGAAUGAAGUACAACCAGUAUCUAGCCCCCCUAAAAUAGAAAAUUUUCCAUUUAUAUACCUUUAUAAUUUAUAAAAUUUAAAAUUUUACUUUCCCAUAAAAUGAUAAAAAAUUGAUUUAUUUCUUUAAAAAUUAUAAAGAUGACUAUUAAAAUAGUAAAAUUGUAUUUUUAUUAUUGUAAAAAUAUACAAUUUAAUUCUGUCUCCCAAAUUUUUUUUUUUUGGUUUCAUCCCUAAGUACAAUGAUCGUUGUAGCAGGAUACAUAGGCAUUCUAGCACAGAAUGCAAAUAUGUUGCCAAUUAACUUCGAGUCAUGGCAUAAAGUGCCCGAGAGUAACAAGAACCAAGCUCUCGAUAACAUUAAGGUAACAAAAUGUGUAUAUCAUUUAUAAUACUUGAGUUUAAGUUUCGUUUACAUUUACUUUCUGAAGUUGUGUUUUUUGUAGGGGAGAUUUGCUCUAGAGGUCUCCGAUGCUUAUGUAAAGAAGGCAUUGGGAAAAAGAUGGAGAGACCAUAAGAGCACUUUAAAGAAAGACUAUUUUAAGACAAAAACAACACUCGACGAGAGAUUACAAAAUGUCACGCCGGGAAUGCUGAGGUACCAGUGGGAAGAAGUCGUUAGAUUUUGGACUUCGAAGAAAGGAGAGGUAUGUGUUACUACAAAAAUCUUGUAAUUAUUUUGGUUUAUAGUAUUUACUAAUUAACGUACUAAUAAUUUCAUAACGUAGGAUCGUGAACGAGUUGGAACAAGUAGUAGGCAGAAACAAAAAUUCACGCACACAGCUGGGUCGAGAAGUUUUGCGUGUGUAGCUCAGGCCGAGGUAUUUUGAAUUUUUUAAUACUGGCAGAUAUUUAUUACUUUCUAUCAAAUAAUAUUUUUACUAUUGUAUUGUAGGAAGUGUUGUCGGGUCAAAAAGUUGGACGCCUUCAACUUUUUGACAUUACACAUAGGAAGAAAGAUGGAAACCCUAUGACUCCUGAAGCUGCAGAAAUUAUGGUACGUUUGCUUAAUACAAUUUGACUUGUUUUAAUUAUUUAUGCUGUUUAUUUUCUAAUGUUUUUUAUUACAUUUCUUGUAAUGCAAAUAUUGUUAAGUUAUGUUGCAUUUGUUUUGUUAAUAUAUGUUGCGUUCUUAACUAUGUGAUUUAUUUUUUAGGAAAAACUGAAGGAUAAAAAGGCGGAGUACGAAGCGAUUGCUUCCAGUGAUAGUUCUGUUCAUAUUGACGACAUUGAUAACCGGAUUAUCACUGAAGUUUUGGGUCCUGAAAGGUAUGGUCGGGUUCGAUUUCAAGGAUCUUUUGUUAACCCAUCCCAAUAUUUUGGAUCCAGCUCGCAACAAUACAUGCAUUCGGGGAGUCAGGCUCAAGCUGAAGUUCAGAGGUUAAGAGACCAGAUAGCUCAGAUGCAAGCGGCAACGAGUGAGCAAAUUACACAACUUAAAGCGGAGGCAACAUCGAGAGAAGCUGAGGUUCAAAAAAGAUAUGAAGAACUCCAGCUACAACUUAAAGCAGAUGCGGCAGCGAGAGAAGCAGAGGUAGCAGCGAGAGAAGCUGAGGUUCAACGAAAGUAUGAGCAACUGCAGCAGCAGCUUAAAGAAGAUGCGGCAACGAGAGAAGCAGCGGCUGCAGCGAGGGAAGUAGAGGCUGCAGUGAGGGAAUCAGAACAGCAUAAAAAGUUCGAUGAACUCCAGCAGCAGCUUCAGAAUAUGAUGAAGAUGUUUCAGCAGUCGCAACCGCCGUCAUCUUAGACUAUCGUUUAAAUAUACUUCAAUUUUGACUUUGGUAUUAUUAUUUUAACUUUUACAAUUUCUGUCAGAAUAAUACGAAUUUUAUUUUAUUUAUUGACAUUUAUUUUAAAUAUUAUAUAGAUUUGGUUAGAUUUGGUUGGUUGGAUUUGGUUUCUUCUGAUUUGUUUUUAUAGGAGGGGGCUGAAAUUUUUUUUUUCAAAUCUGCAAAAAUUAGCGGCGUUUUUUUGGAUAAGCGCCGCUAAAGACCAUCGUCUAUAGUGGAAUUUUUUGGCUAAGCGCCGCUAAAGACCAUGGUCUAUAGUGGCAUUUUUCGGCUAAGCACCGCUAAAGACCAUGGUCUAUAGUGGCGUUUUUUGUCUAAGCGCCGCUAAAGACCAUGGUGUAUAGUGGCAUUUUAUGGCUAAGCGCCGCUAAAGACCAUGGUGUAUAGUGGCGUUUUUUGGCUAAGCGCCGCUAAAGACCAUGGUCUAUAGUGGCGUUUUUUGUCUAAGCCCCGCUGAAAACCAUGGUCUAUAGUGGCGUUUUUUGGCUAAGCGUCGCUAAAGACCAUGGUCUAUAGUGGCGUUUUGUGGCUAAGCGCCGCUAAAGACCAUGAUCUAUAGUGGCAUUUUUCGGCUAAGCGCCGCUAAAGACCAUGGUCUAUAGUGGUGUUUUUUAGGCUAAGCGCCGCUAAAGACCAUGGUCUAUAGCGGCGUUGCAAAGAAAACGCCGCUAAAGACCAUGGUCUAUAGUGGCGUUUUUUAGGCUAAGCGCCGCUAAAGACCAUGGUCUAUAGCGGCGUUGCAAAGAAAAUGCUGCGAAAGGUCUUGAUCUUUAGCGGUGUUUAUUAUAAAAAGCGCCGCUAAAGUUACCGACGCUGUCAUUAGCGGCGAUCCUUGCGGCGCUUCGUAAAGCGCCGCUAAAAGUAUUUGCGGCGCUAAAAAAUGCCGCUAUAGACCUAAAAAAGCGCCGCUAAAACCCUGUUUUGGUGUAGUGUGAGAUGAUUACAAAUGAAGGGGGAGAUCUCUAUUUAUAGUUGAGCUCCCCUAGAUCCAAUAGUAUAGAUUGAAUUACAUCAACGAUUGAGAUUAGUACUUAUCUACAAGAUGAGUCUUAAGGAUUUUAAACUCUAUACAUCUUUAUCCCUUAGGAUUUACAUUAAUUACUCUGGUAACUCUAGUUUUACUGGAGAGUUUCACUGAACCACCAAAGGUUUAAGUAGAUGAGCUUCUCCAUAUGUUCCACGAGUUGGACAAGUUCAAGCGGAUCAAAUGAGCCCAAUUUAAUUAGUUAAUCUCAAUAAAACGUUCUAUGCACAAUGAUCAUGAACUUUGAUCCACAUCUCAAAAUGAUCAGAUGAAUAAUCUCUCUUAAUUAUAUUUUUAUAAAACUUGAUAUUUUCAUUUAAAAAGAAACACAAUCACAUAUAAUAAUGUCUCCAAAAGAGUCGUCCACUUCAAAGAUUUAAAGUAAUGUAAGAAUGAACCCAACAUUUUUCAAUUAAAAAUAUGUCGAUAGAUAUAGCAAGUUGUAUAACCUUUCAAUUACAAAACAGAUUUCAAUGGGGAUUGCAUCCGGUACAUGCAACUAAAGAACAGAACCGGUGCAUAAAUUGAUUUAAUUAAACUUUGGGUUGAGUAAUCAUGAUUUUCAUUAUUAUUAGACUACGUGAAUGUUGAUAUAAAAUGCUUGAGAGAAGGGUAUAGAAGAAACACAAAAUAAUGAGUGAUAUUAAUUUGUAGAUAAAGAUAAUAUUACAUAGUCGCAAAAAGCGACCUAGUACACAACGCACAACUCUAAAUUAGGAUAACUCCUCUGCUAUCCCUAUGGAUGGAUUUUAACAUCCAUAUUUAUUCUGUAGCUAUCGUUAUUUUGGCUUCCACUAGCUGGUGAACUUUCCAUGCCAAAACUUCACUUAACCCUGCAAAUGAAACAACAAAAAACACAACAUUAAAUGUUGAGCAAUUAAUAAGCAUAAGCAAUGAAACAACUCAUACGAACCUGCUGCAGUCAGUGCUAGGGCUGAUCUUGUAAGGGAUGUUGACACCGCACUUGCCUGGGAGUCCGCUUGCAAUACCAUAGUUGAUGCCAGGAAUGCCGGCGGCCGCACUUUUGAUGCAUUUGCAAGCUGCUUGCCGGUCUGGUGUUGUUUGGGCGGCGGAGUUGAGAGAUUUGAUGCCGCUGCAGCAACCUUGGGGAACGGCACCAGCACCAUUCCCUCUCAAGUAAUUAAUGCAGGGUGCGAGGGAGCCUGUGACUUGACCACAGGUUACGGUCCCUUGAGCCAGGGGUGCACCCACCACCAUGCACAACACCACCACACAUGCAAGCUUAAGGGACAUUGAGCUAGCCAUAUCGAUUAAUUACAAGAAAAACAAACUUGUAAGGAAAAUGCUUGCUUGGAGUAGUAGUAGUAUUGCUGAUUGUUGCGUGGUUAGGGCCCGAGGGUAGGAGGGUUUUUAUAGCCAAAAGUUUUGUGAAGGGAUAUGGAACGAACUGAGAAACACGUACGAAUAGAAUAUGGUUAGGCGUUGGUAGUUGUCCCAAUUCAAUGCCAAGGUUUCUUUUUUUCUUUUUCAUGUUUCAGCUUAUGGUUGAGUGUGUUUAAUGCUUUGAAAAAGGUUUGUAUCUACCACUUUCAUCUUCAUCACUAAUGCUGAAUUACUCCGUUGAUUAAUGCAUCAUAUUAGCCUUGUCCUAGUGUUACCGGUUUUCUGAUAUUAGUAGCUUUACCAAUAAAAGAUGCUAUCAAAUAUAGUUUUCAGGAUGAUAUUAAAAAUUAAGGUUUUUUAGUUACAAAUAAAAUUGUCACAUUAUCAAAUUUUAAAGAUAUGAAAUUAUUAUUAUAAACUCAUCUAUAGAGAAAUUAUUUUAUGAGCCCUUUCCACCACAUUAUUCACAGUCCAUUUUCAAUUAUUUAAUAAUAUUUCAACAAUAUUUUUCAUGUCAUUGACACAUAAUUUUAAUAAAUUUUUUACCCUGAACCUUGAGUCUAGAAUCCCAAACCCUAAAUAAAAAACUUAAAACCCCAAACUAUAACCCCAAACACUUGCAUCAUAAACUCGAACCGCGAACCUCAAACUCAUAAUCUGUAACCUUGAACCCAAACUUGUAAUCUCGAACCCUUGAACCCUUGAACCCUGAACCUAAACCUUGAACCCUGAACUCAAAGCCCAAAACCAAAACUGAACCCUGAACCUUAAAUCUCAAACCCAAACCUUAAACCUCGAGGUUUGGGUUCAAGGUUCAAGGUUCAGGGUUUGAGUUCAAGGUUCGAGGUUUAGGAUAAAAUAAUUACCAAAAUUUGUAACAGAAUAAAAGAGUUCGUUUAUAAUUUAAAAAGCAAUUAUUUUAAGUAAUUUAAUUAAAGUGAAAUUAAGUUAGAGAAAAUAUUAGAUAUAGAUGAGUGUAUAAUAAUACUUUAUUGUCUUUAAAAUUUAAUGACGUGGUACUAUUUUAUUGGUGCCUCAAACUAUACUUUUUAGAAUAAUCCUAAUACAAUUUAUUCCCAUAUUAAAUACGUAUGCUUUCUAUAUUUUUUCGAAAAAAUAAAUUUUAUUCAUAAACUUUCUAUAUAUAAAUAUAUGUUUUAUUUAAAAUUUAUAAAUACAGAAAAAUUAAAAUAUAAAUAUAUGUCAAAGUAGCUAUUAAGUGUAGAAUUAAACAAUUAUAACAUAUAAAUAGAUUAAAAAUUAGGACAAAAAAUCAAUCUAUUACAUAAAAUAUAAAUUAUGAAUGAAAACAAUCUAAAUUAUAGUCUGGCUAAUCAAACUAAAACUUACAUAUAACCAUAUGACUUUAAGGGUCUUGAAUAUGGUUACUUAAAAGCUUAUAGUUCAGCUUUUACCCACUACGUCAAGGCUUCAUUUACGUUUUUUUUAACCAUAUAUUUUUCAUAUAAUUAUAUAUAUAUAUUUUGCAUAAAAAAUCCCCAAGACGUUAAUUACUUCUAUAUAAUGUAGCGAUUAAGUCCUCAAACAAAAAUUGCUCAACAUCAAUGCAUGUAUAGAUCAAUUUUAUAUAUCAAAGACCAAUACUAUCUUUUUCUUAAAAAAAAAAAAAAACCAAUAUGUUGUGAUUGCUUAGCUAUUGUUCCUAAGUCUUCCUGAAAAAGGUUUCACAGCGAGAGGAGAAAAAAAAAAGUUGAACUUGUCUUGGUUUGCCCCAUAAUGAUUGAAGCAUAGACAAGAUUAUAAAUGUUAAUUUAGUAUACGACAUAAUAAUAUAAUAUAAUAUAUUUAAAUGUAUAUCUCCUCACCUCCUAGACGCUGUCAGUUAUUUUAUUUUUUGGGAUUCUUUUAACAAAAGGUUGAGCUUUUUAUUAGGUUUUAUUUGAUUUUUCAUUUAUUAAUAUAAUUUUUUUAUUUUUAUAUAUUUUAGUUAUUAUUAAUUUUUGUUGGAAAUUUGUACGGUCUUGUUCUAACAACAAUUACAACAAGCUUUUUGGAACAAUCAAAAGUUUUGGGUGUUGGCAUGUUUGACUUUUAAUGGCUUAUGUUUUAAUAUUAGUUAACAACAAAUGAUAAGAGAAUUUCAUGGUAAAUUAGAAUAUAAUUAUCAUCCAUUUGAUUAGUCUUGAAGAGGAAGGAGAGGAGUUUUAACUUUGGUGGACACCCAUCCUUAUCCUUGUCUUUUAGAGUGUUUGAAGCUAUUGGAGAACUUGGUUUUAAAGAUUUUAUUUGAUAAAUAUUCAAAAUAAUUAAUUUGAUAAUUUCAACUUUUAAAGGAGAGUUUAAAACUUAUCAAAAUAUUAUUUGAUAAACACUUGUAGAGGCGUAUAAAUAGGCAACAGUGUGGUGUAACUUUGUUUGUUGUUUUGGAGUGUCUUAAACUUUUAUUUUUUUGCUAUUCCAUUGGGUAACUUUAUGACACUCUCUUUUUAGGUAUUAUUUGGAGAUGUUUAGUAAUUGUAUUGUGAGGAAUUUGAGUGAGUGAUUGCAUUGAAGAAAUGCGACCUAAAUGUAUAUGUUAAACUCUUAUCUAGGACAUAAAUUCCAUGAACAAGGUACCCAUGUUAAUAACAUGUCACCACUUCGCAUCUUUAUGGUAUUGACCCUAUGUAGUUAGACCCUAUAUGACGUAAACAACACUUAUAGUGUGCACGAUAUCGUAGGCUUGAACGUUGAUUGAAUGCAACCUAUAUUUUGGUGCCUUUGUCGGAAAUGAUGUAUGCAUCGGGUUGCGGUACAAAUGCCUUCUCAGGUUAGUUAAGAAGAAAUCCCAUUCAUCAUUGGAUUCUUCAGGAGUUAUUACAAAAGCUAUUGGCAGGAUUUUUAGGUUACCAUCUUAUGCAACAACUACUAACAACCGAUGGUCGCAUAUUCUAUACAGGAAUGUGCCGUUAAUUUGGAAAAGUGGCUUACAGUACCAAAAUGUAGUUCUGCAUUGCUUAAAAGUCCAAAAGCAACGGUGGAAAACUCCUUUUCCAGGGACCAAGCAAUCGUCAUAAUACGCAGGCUCCAUUUUUAACUUGGUUACAGAACCUAGUAUGUACCACUCUAGUAUCUAACACCAUUGCCACAAUUUAUAGUAGGAUUUCUCCCACCCUCUAUUCAUUUUCUCCAAUGCCUUCUAUUUUUGCAACUAUGUCUUAUGCUAGGACAUGGUGUAAUCGGAUUCUCUACAGAUGUGUGCGAUCAAAAUUGGGACCAGAAUCGUAGGACUUGCUUUUGCCAUGGGUAAUAGAAUUUUAGAUAUCAUGUCUAAAUCUAAUUUUGGAUGAUCAUUCGAUAUGCUUGAAAAACAAGAAAUCAAGUCACUAUGUGUAAUAGAAUGUAAAAAAAGGCUAGGAUUCGAGUCGAUGUUGUUAGCCAUAUUACAUACCAGCUACAACACAUGUAUGUGGCACGAUAAAUUUCCUACGUUUAAAAUGCCAACUUCUUCGUCAUAAAUGCCAUGAUUUUCCAUAGACAUCUUGUUGCACGCAUUGUGCGCAUCGCCUUAUAUUUCUCGGAUUGAGAGCAUGUAAUAGUGAAGUUGACACCAAGUUGUAUGCUAUACUACUUGAUUGUAGCUACAAAAGCAUAUUUGGAGUCAAAUUCCAUCCCAACCUCUAAGUGGUCGAAAUUUGUUGAUGAAGUCGCAUACCUUAGUCUUCUACGGGGGAGGUCUGGGAAUUCUAAAACCACUUUCACUAGUAAGACUGAGAGUACGCAUAUGGGGUGGGGGUUUGUAUUUCGUGAAACUUAGGUCAUCCCCUCGAGCGAUGUCUAAAGCUUGACCAUUAGAUCCAUCGUCUUCUAGUUCAGUAGGAAUGGGAUCUAGUUCUAAAAUUACUACAAUUUCGCACCAUCCAGUCCAACCACCUCUCCUGGGUCAUUAUCUGAUUUAGACCCCUCUUUGACCACUUUGUUCUCUUGUCCCUCUUUGUUAUCAACCCUGGUUGUAAGUCCAGGGUUGGAUGUACCCUCUCUGGUCAAAGUUGUCAAGAGUAGAUCAUUCAUUCUUGUAAAUCCGAUGUCAAUCCCAAAAUCAAUUCUGUUUGGCCUACCCAGUAACUUGAUGGUGUACCAUAUGAGUGUUAUCGAGGUUGAACAUAGGUGUGUCAAAGUUGAAACCAAAGGCACUGAUAGAAUGUUGUGCGGCUGUGUUGUAGGCCUGGUGACCGAAUACGUCUAACUAUCCCCCGAAGUUGAAAUCGAGGGAUGAAAUCGAUGAAUGCCUCACCAUUGAUGAUGUUAAUAAUGUGUCUUUGUAUAAGCUUUGUAGAAAUGAUCUGAAUCCACAACAAAACCGUGUGGCCAGACUUUUUGCUUCUUGAUUUGGCUAGAAAUUUGGCGGACACGGUAUAAUCGAGCUUGGGCCACCUUUUUCCUCUUCAGCAAAGACUGUAUAUUCUCACUAGAGUAAUGAGUUUCGAUCACUGUCUUCAAACCGUUGUCCCCUGUGAUCUGAAAAAUGGAAUAUCUAACGGGGUUAAAUGAUGUUAGAUAUCUACAUUUCAGGCUCAAAAUUCUUCUUCAGAUCCCUACUUUAUGCCUAAACCUUGUUCAAAGCUCUUUUAACGUUAUGCUCUAGUUGAAUGUCAGAUCUUUAGAUUGGGUUGAUACAAAAAUGGGCUCAAUUUCAGCCUCACAAUUUUGACCGUUGUAAUGGACAAUAGCUCUGGCUCGUCUCCUCAUCUUGAACCAAAUAUUCUAUUCCACAUGUUUAAAAUCGAGAAAAUUGUAAAAAUAUAGUUCUCAUCACCCAAAUCCCUAAAUUUACACUUACUUUAAUGAAAUACCUUUGCUUCGACAAUAUUGUCAGUAUAAAAUUUUUGUUUUUUACUACAACAUCGAUAACUCCUAAUGCCAACAAUCUGCUUCAAACAUCUGUAUGGAAAAUCCAAGAAUUAUAUUGAGUUUUUUUAUAGAGCCUUUUCCUCGACGCACAUGAAACGAUUCUAGCAACAACACAUGUCAAGGCAUUAGUUGUUUUUGAGGUAUACACUAAAAAUUAAAAUUUGUGGGGGAGAAAACGUUCCCCGCAACGAUGUUUUUCAGCACCUAGACAUAGCAUUGAAAUUUAUCCUAGGAAUCCCGGGUUGUAGGGGCUUAGAGGUUGAAGCAAUCAAGUUGGCUUGGGUAUUGAAAGACCAUAAAGAAAAUGCCUAUUGCAGGAAGCAUUUCCACCUGACUUGGCAAUCAAAAUGCCUCCUGCAGGACGCGUUUUCCAGCCACAUCUCUGAUAUGUUAGUCGAAAACGCAUCUUGCAAGAGGCGUUUGUACUGCCAUGUUAGGUAAAAACACUUCCUGCAGGGAACAUUUUCUUUAUGGCCAUUUCAACACCCAGGCCAACUUAAUUGCUUCUGCCUCUGAGCCCUUACAACACGGGAUUCUCGGGAUAAAAAAAUUUCCCUUUUUACCCCACCCCAUCCCUUAUAUAAAUGCAUGUUCUCAUCCCCUACUCACCCAUAUCUCAGUCUCCUUUAAAUUAUUUUUUUCUUUUUCUUCCGUGUUGAAAUUUUCAAGUUUAAAGAUUUAUUUCUCUCACACUUUGAGGGGGAUGUAAUCAUAGUUUUAAGUUGUGUUUGAGUUCACAAUAAUGUCGUGGCGCUUGAUAACUUACAAAUUUCACUUGUCGUGUGAGUAUGGAGCCAUCACUUGAGAAAUCGAGAUCGCUUUGCAACUCGAGGUCCAAGUUGACGGUGUAAAUAAGGCUUCAAGUUUACAAAGGUUAUGCUAUUAAAAGGAUGGAGCAAAACCGGGACUGUAGUUGAUGAUGGUGAUGCAAGCACAAGAACUAGUUUUUCCUCAUUGGAAGAGCAUACUUUAUAAAAUCCAUAUACAAGUACGAGGGAGAAAAUCACAGGGGUCUUCCAGUAUAAUCAAGUAAUUCAUUUUAUCCUUUUCCAGCAAAGGCAAUGACCCUGUUACUAAAACCUAUUACAUCCCAAUUCUAUCAUAGGUAAUAGUAACGGUGUCACUGUCUUUGGUGGAGAUGGAUAAAAAAAUUUACUUAAUUAUACUGAGAUACCAUUGCAUUUUUCUUCCUCGUACUUGUGUAUGAGUUUUAUAAAGCAUCAUUUUCUAAUGAAAAAAGUUUUUUGUCGUGCCCGCAUAACCAUUGUAAAUUACAGCUCCAAUCAUACUCCGUCCUUUGAUAGCGUAACAUUUUGUAAACUUGAAGCUCUAGUUACACUUCAAUUUCAGACCGUAUAAUCACCCUUAACUGGGACCAUGAGUUGCAAUGCGAUCUGGCUUCUCGGGUGAUGGCUCCAUACUCACAUGACAAAUGAAAUUUGUAGGUCACCUAACUCCACGACACCACCAUAAAUUCAAACAUUCCUUAAAACUAUAACAGUGUCUAUCUCAAACAAGAAUGAAAAUAAAUGUUCAAACUUCUAAUUUCAAAUUGCAAGAAAAAAAAAAGAAAAAAAUAAAUUUUAGCAAAGUAAAAAUGGGUCCUACCGGCACAUUUUCAUUGCCACAUCAAUGAAAAUACACCUCGUACGACACGUUAUUCUUUCUUCGUAAACAAUGUAAAUCAAUAAAUUUAAAAAAAAAUUAUACAUUCUCAAAUAACUCUUUUUUUCAGCAUUUUUGUUAAAUUUAUCCCAUAAUACUGCUACUUCUUGUUUCCUGGGUUAUUUUUAUUACUGCUGGUUGUACCACCCUCCUACUGUGCGCCGGUUAUAGCAACUCACUCAAGAUUCUAAAUACUAAUAUAAACACCAUUUCUUUUAUUCUUAGUUUUUUUAGUGAUUAACGUGGUUUUAAUUAUCGUUAGAUCACGUGGGUGUUUAUAUGAAAUGCUUGAAAUCGUCACGCAGGACAAAAAAAAAAAAGAAAAAGAAAAGGAAAUGAAGAGUAUAUAUAUAGAGGAAACAACUAGUGAGAGUGAUAUUAAUAUUUAGAGUAGGUAAAGAUAGUAUUAUAUAGUCGCAUAUGCGACCUUGUACAUUACCACUAACUCUAAAACUAGGAUAACUCCAACAAUGAAUAGUACCGCUAUGGAUUUUUAACAUUCAUUUUUAUUCUGUCGACAUCACUAUUUCCCUUCCAUUAGCUGAUCCCAACUUCCAUGACCACACUUCACUUAAUGCUGCAAAUGCAACCACACCAAACAAAACAUUCAUAAAUUAAUAAAUCAAUUGCCAUAAGCGAUAAACUUUGGGUCAUUUUCUUUUUCCGUAAUUUCAAAGAAACCUAGUUUAAAUUAGAUACGAACCUUUUGCAGUCAGUGGAAGGGCUGAUCUUGUAAGGGAUGUUGAUACCGCACUUGCCUGGGAGUCCGGCUGCAGUGCUAUAGUUGAUGCCAGAAAUGCCGGUGGCCGCACUUUUGAUGCAGCUGCAAGCUGCUUGCCGGUCUGGUGUUGUUUUGGCGGCAGAGUUGAGAGAUCUGAUGCCGUUGCAGCAAGCUGGGGGAGCAGAACCAGCACCAUUCCCUUUCAAGUAAGCAAUGCAGGGUGCGAGGGCGCUUGUGAUUUGACCACAACUUAUGGCCCCUUGAGCCAGGGGUGCACCCACCACCAUGCAAAACACCACCACAC